UCAAUCACACAAAACUUAAUGGAACUCGUGAGAUAAGUUAGUAUGCUAAUAAAUAAAUGAUUCACUUUGUAUUGUCAAGAAAUAUCCAUAAUUGUUAGCACAUAAUUCCUAUUUCAUUUUAUCAUUCCAUAAUUUAUUCCACUCAAUAUAAUCUAUGUAAACACUAAAUCAAGAAAACAAUGCAUGCAAAACAGAAUCUAUUAAAAACAGAAUAAUUUGUAAAGAUCUA
RNAcentral lists this long non-coding RNA (229 nucleotides) under Hordeum vulgare. RNAcentral's name for it is "long non-coding RNA (HVUL_LNC012127)". The record is from RNAcentral. Lineage: Eukaryota; Viridiplantae; Streptophyta; Magnoliopsida; Poales; Poaceae.